UACGUAGGGGGCGAGCGUUGUCCGGAUUUACUGGGCGUAAAGAGCGCGUAGGCGGUUUUGAGAGUCGGCUGUGAAAUCUCCAGGCCCAACCUGGAGGGGUCGGCCGAGACCUUGAGACUUGAGGGUGGUAGAGGAAGGUGGAAUUCCGGGUGUAGUGGUGAAAUGCGUAGAUAUCCGGAGGAACACCAGUGGCGAAGGCGGCCUUCUGGGCCAAACCUGACGCUGAGGCGCGAAAGCGUGGGGAGCGAACCGA
This 253-nucleotide ribosomal RNA is filed under the name uncultured bacterium. RNAcentral's name for it is "partial 16S ribosomal RNA". It matches the Rfam family "Bacterial small subunit ribosomal RNA", at positions 524 to 776 of the family's 1533-position model. The record is from RNAcentral.